Molecule: long non-coding RNA, 658 nt
Filed under: Ananas comosus (pineapple)
Lineage: Eukaryota; Viridiplantae; Streptophyta; Magnoliopsida; Poales; Bromeliaceae
Description: long non-coding RNA (ACOM_LNC035102)
Source: RNAcentral
CCCUACAGUGGUAAAGUUAAAUGAUGAACUUAAUCUUGUGUUGACAAGGAUUAGAGAACGAGUGGCAUCUAGACAAUGUUGACAACUUGACGAGUGGCAUGACAAGUACUGUAUAGAUGAAAAUACUUGUUGCAUGUUGAACAUAUAGAUGAAAUAGUUCCUAAGUGGAUGUUGACCCUAGUAGCAGGGUAUCCUCUGUGACGAGGAUUUGAUCAUACUCACAUGUCUGUUCAGAGCUUGUAGGUGGUCGCUCCACACAAGCAGUGCACUCCGGAGUUGUCACACGAUAGGGAUAGCCUUAUGGGGUCCCGAGGGAUAGCCUUAUGGGGUCCCGCAGACGGUCUUGGGCGAGUGAGCGGAUCCUCCCCAAGUGAGUCGGGUGAGUGAGCUGAUCCUCACCUGUGAGAUUGAGAUUGGGUUGUGGUACCUGUGUUGAGUCGGGCGAGUGAGCAGAUCCUCUUCGUUGAGAUUAGAUUGUGAGUCGGGCGAGUGAGCAGAUCCUCCCCGUUGAGAUUAGAUUGUGAGUCGGGCAAGUGAGCGGAUCCUCCCCGUUGUGAUUAGAUUGUGAGUCGGGCGAGUGAGCAGAUCCUCCCCUUUGAGACUAGAUUGUGAGUUGGGUGAGUGAGCGGAUCCUCACCCUUGUUAUUGAGUGGAUUGC